UGCAUAUCAAAAGCGGAGGAAAAGAAACCAACAGGGAUUGCCCUAGUUACGGCGAGUGAAGCGGCAACAGCUCAAAUUUGAAAUCUGGCUCUUUCAGAGUCCGAGUUGUAAUUUGCAGAGGGCGCUUUGGCUUUGGCAGCGGUCCAAGUUCCUUGGAACAGGACGUCACAGAGGGUGAGAAUCCCGUACGUGGUCGCUAGCUAUUGCCGUGUAAAGCCCCUUCGACGAGUCGAGUUGUUUGGGAAUGCAGCUCUAAAUGGGAGGUAAAUUUCUUCUAAAGCUAAAUAUUGGCCAGAGACCGAUAGCGCACAAGUAGAGUGAUCGAAAGAUGAAAAGCACUUUGGAAAGAGAGUCAAACAGCACGUGAAAUUGUUGAAAGGGAAGCGCUUGCAGCCAGACUUGCUUGCAGUUGCUCAUCCGGGCUUUUGCCCGGUGCACUCUUCUGUAGGCAGGCCAGCAUCAGUUUGGGCGGUGGGAUAAAGGUCUCUGUCACGUACCUUCCUUCGGGUUGGCCUUAUAGGGGAGACGCCAUACCACCAGCCUGGACUGAGGUCCGCGCAUCUGCUAGGAUGCUGGCGUAAUGGCUGUAAGCGGCCCGUCUUGAAACACGGACCA
Molecule: ribosomal RNA, 615 nt
Filed under: Curvularia lunata
Lineage: Eukaryota; Fungi; Ascomycota; Dothideomycetes; Pleosporales; Pleosporaceae
Description: partial large subunit ribosomal RNA
Rfam family: Eukaryotic large subunit ribosomal RNA
Source: RNAcentral